This 285-nucleotide ribosomal RNA is filed under the name Bacillus sp. (in: firmicutes). RNAcentral describes it as "Bacillus sp. (in: Bacteria) partial 16S ribosomal RNA". It matches the Rfam family "Bacterial small subunit ribosomal RNA", at positions 116 to 394 of the family's 1533-position model. The record is from RNAcentral. Lineage: Bacteria; Bacillati; Bacillota; Bacilli; Caryophanales; Bacillaceae.
CUUGGGCAACCUGCCUGUAAGACUGGGAUAACUUCGGGAAACCGGAGCUAAUACCGGAUAAUCCUUUUCCUCUCAUGAGGAAAAGCUGAAAGUCGGUUUACGCUGACACUUACAGAUGGGCCCGCGGCGCAUUAGCUAGUUGGUGAGGUAACGGCUCACCAAGGCGACGAUGCGUAGCCGACCUGAGAGGGUGAUCGGCCACACUGGGACUGAAACACGGCCCAGACUCCUACGGGAGGCAGCAGUAGGGAAUCUUCCGCAAUGGACGAAAGUCUGACGGAGCAA